Molecule: ribosomal RNA, 375 nt
Filed under: uncultured organism
Description: partial 16S ribosomal RNA
Rfam family: Bacterial small subunit ribosomal RNA
Source: RNAcentral
GGAGGGGGGCCAGCGUUAUUCGGAAUUAUUGGGCGUAAAGGGCGCGUAGGCGGGUUUGGCAAGUCAGUUGUGAAAGCCCUCGGGCUCAACCGAGGAACUGCGACUGAAACUGCCGAACUUGAGUCCCGGAGAGGGUAGCGGAAUUCCCAGUGUAGCGGUGAAAUGCGUAGAUAUUGGGAGGAACACCGGUGGCGAAGGCGGCUACCUGGACGGGUACUGACGCUGAGGCGCGAAAGCGUGGGGAGCAAACAGGAUUAGAUACCCUGGUAGUCCACGCUGUAAACGAUGGGCACUUGGUGUUGCGGGUAUCGACCCCUGCAGUGCCGAAGCUAACGCAUUAAGUGCCCCGCCUGGGGAGUACGGUCGCAAAGGCUG